Long non-coding RNA from Manduca sexta (tobacco hornworm), 1073 nucleotides. RefSeq lists it as uncharacterized. The transcript has 2 exons. Lineage: Eukaryota; Metazoa; Arthropoda; Insecta; Lepidoptera; Sphingidae. The record is from RefSeq and is a predicted model, not a curated record.
CAUUUGAUUUGAUUGUUGUAAACAGUCUGUCGCAACUUCAUAGUAAAAAAUAAAUGUAUGAAACGGGAAUAAAUUUUAAUGGCGACUAUAUUUGUCUCGCUCACUUUCUUAGUGUUCCUCACUCUCUCCCACAAUGUCAUUCGAAUCAUUGUCUUUGCGCUCUGUGUCAAUCAAAUGUCACCGGCGGUAUCAUAUUUUUUAGGUGAAAAAGUGUUCAUUUACCAAGUGUAUUACUGCAAAUAGGUGUUUCAAAGUGUUUAUUCGGAUUUAGCGUUAUUCAGAAUAUUUUAUUUAUAAGAAUGGCUUAUAGAAAAUGUGUAAUAUGUGGUUUGAGAUCGGAGCGUAAAGAUGGCAUAAAACGUUAUUUUAUGGCUAGAUUUCCUCUAGAUGAACGUCGGUGUAAAGAAUGGGUAAAAAUGGCAGGAAAUAAGGAUCUAGCUUAUUUGCCCAUUGAAAAACUUAAUCAGUUAAAAUUAGUUUGUGGAAAGCAUUUUAAAAAUAGCGAUUUUAAGAAAAAAGGAACACAGCUGAAGAAAACGGCUGUACCAUCAAUAAGGCUUACUUCUAAUUGGAACAAUCAAAUGCAGAUAUAAAUAAAAUUGCUCAAUUAACGAGUUCAGCUAAGUAAUAUAGUAUUAGAAUAAUUGAAAUGAAAUGAUUUAUUUAAAUCCGCAAAAAUGUUAUACAUUAUUAAAUUCCGUCAAUAUCUUUCUACCAUUCUUUGAGGGCUAUAUAAUUAUAAAUUUUCUCUUUUCUGGUAAAUUUAAAAUAGCAUCGUUACUAUCACAUAAAUAAUCGUCUAUAUCAUAAGCAACUGUGUGAUACGACUACACCAAUUAAAUCUUCAGAUUUUUUACUAAAUACCAAAUCAUGAAAAUCUAACAUCAAUUGGCUAUCAUCAGGGUCACAAUUAGCUCCCUUUAUAGGAGUACUAAGAUUCGUUAAUAUAGUGGUUUUGAGUGCAGCGGUACAAUGGUGGCAUGUCGGAUUUUGGUUUGUUGGAGAAUGUUGCCUAAUUAAACCGAAAAGAUUCUCCAAAGAAUCUUGAUUGAGUUGGCGCAAAUUAAGGAAUU